Aedes albopictus (Asian tiger mosquito) is the source of this 9540-nucleotide RNA transcript. It is a transcript of the gene named protein couch potato, with no coding region annotated. The transcript is spliced from 8 exons. NCBI's taxonomy places the organism in Eukaryota, Metazoa, Arthropoda, Insecta, Diptera, Culicidae. The record is from RefSeq and is a predicted model, not a curated record.
UGCACCGCACCAUCAUCAUCCGGCCAAGUCAAGUCGUCCGACAGCAGCAGCGGGAACGAUCGUCAUCGGUGCUAGCCACCGUCACUCCUGUCUACCGCGUCUGCACCAUCACCUCCAUAGAAAUCGCUGGAAAAUCCAAUUACAUUCGGACUUUGAAUCGGCACAUGGUGUUCGAUUCAAUAGUGCGUCCAUAAAUUCCGUCACCAUUUCGUCGACAGUGGUGAAACGAAGGCCAGCGCCGCAAAUCACGGUAGCGAGCGCCCCACAAGUCCUAUCGCCGAAGCGACUGUGCACGACUCCGCUGGCCGGUGGAGCGACGAUUCCGGCCUUAGGUACCUGUCUGGUUUCCGCCCAUCCACCGGCUUCGGCUGCCGCCGCCGCAGCCGCCGCAGCACUGUUGCAGCAUCAUCAAGCCCAGGCGGCCCAGCAUCAUCAGUUUCAGCAGCAACAGCAACAACAACAGCAGCAACAGGCUCGGCUUCAGAACCAACAUCACCAACAGCUGCUAGAGUCGACCGGCGGCACCGGAGUUCCUACUUCCGUGCAUCAGCAGCAGCUAGUGUCCGUUCCGCUAGCAAUCAGCACCAAUAGUUCACAACCAAUGUUUACAUCACCGAUCGUUGCCCAGUCUAAUCCGGCUGUCAGUACACAGUCCAUCAACGGAUCAUUGAACGUGAACGCGGCCAACAAUAACCACAACCUCGGACAGACGCAGAACAGUCUCGGCAGUGCGGCGAAAAUGGACAACUCGAUGGGACAGAUGACACCGAUGGCCCCGCUAGCCCUCUCGCAGAGCAUGGAUUCGGUCAACACAGCCAGCAAUGAAGAAGAGGUUCGCACCCUGUUCGUCAGUGGGUUACCAAUGGACGCCAAACCCCGGGAGCUGUACCUACUGUUCAGAGCCUACGAAGGCUACGAGGGAUCACUGCUAAAGGUUACCAGCAAAAAUGGCAAGACAGCAUCGCCGGUGGGCUUUGUCACGUUCAGCACACGUUCCGGAGCAGAGGCGGCCAAGCAGGAUCUGCAGCAAGGUGUACGCUUCGAUCCUGAUAUGCCCCAAACAAUACGCUUGGAAUUCGCCAAGAGUAACACUAAAGUGAGCAAACCAAAACCACAACCUAAUACAGCGGCCACAGCUGCACAUCCUGCAUUGAUGCACCCACUUACUGCUGGACACUUAGGUACUCCGUUUUUUCCUGGGAGCCACGAGCUAUGGCAUCAUCCGUUAGCGUUCUCGGCAGCCGCUGCUGAACUGCCCAGUGCUGCGGCCCUGCAGCAUGCGACACUCGUCCAUCCGGCACUGCAUCCUCAGGUCCCGGUACGCUCCUACCUCUGACUAAAUACGGACAAAGUUCUCGAGCAGCAGCCAAUGCACCAACAACAAAUUCAAAUGCCACAUCCGACAGCAAUACACCCAGCAUCGAUGCAUGUUUCGGCCGGAUUACCAGCGAACCAUUUUUUACCAAGUCCGGCCUUGGCCAGUCCGGUCGGCAGCACCGGUGGCAGUCAGCCGCCUAAUCCGCCGCUAGCCGCCAAUGCUCCCUGUUCAACGCUGUUCGUUGCUAACCUGGGCCAGUUUGUGUCCGAACAUGAGCUCAAAGAAAUAUUUGCGAGGGGAGCGGGUUUGGAGCCAAGAAUGGAACACCAUUUGGGGAAGAAGAGUGAACGAACCGAUCUCAACACCUACUUGAUGGCUACAACUUGACCCCAUCAGCAACAGCAGCAACAAUAUCAGCAACAGAACCAUCACCAACCAACAACAGCAACUGUUAUCGACAACUCCUACAUCAACGGAACUAACGGAAACGGACUAGGAUUCGACUUUGGGAAUGGCAUAUCAACCGGACGUUUCAGUAGCGUCAACAACAACAACAGCAAUGGUCUCUACGCGAUUGCCGUCCCGCAGCCCAGAGCGUGAACAGAGCACGAUGUCGUCUUUCUGAAAGAAAAUUGAACAUACUGUGUAAAAAUGAUGCUGUGAAGUAUUCACAUGCCGUUUGUUUUAUCAAUUCAUCCUAGAGGAAACGAAAUCAUUUAGUUGAUGUGUAAAUGUGAUAAAUGAAGACCAUGUUUGGCCCCCCAAUUGAACCAUAAUGUGCCCUAGAACGAUUUUUAUACGAAAGCUAUGUUGAACUUUUUCAAUUUCCUUCUUGGUUACACCUGUUAUCAGCCUAUUGCUUUUUCGUUGAACCGUACUUACGACAAAUAUACAAUUCGAGUAGUGGAACGAUGGUAAAGCUCCCUUUGGAAAGGCAAGCACAAACGUGCAACACACACAAAAAUAAUACAUGUGAUUAGGGUUUCAAAGUGUUUCAGUUAUUUUUAACGAAACCAAGGAAGAGAAAAACAAACAAACGGUAGUUCUUAGGAAAAAAACGGCGAACAAGCAAUAACAAACUAAACACACUGUAAAUGAAAAUAUCCAUGCAUAUCAAAGAUUUUUUUUAAAAUCAACAAAGAUGGGAACGAUAGUUUGUAAAACUGCAUACAUAGUUUCUUAAGGACGCAUACUGUAGGAAGUAACUGCUAGGCAAUAUUAAGGGCAUGCUAAAACCCAAGAUCCGUUUCCGACAGACCAGAUUUGGUAGGAGAUUUUUCUGUUGAUAUCUAUCGAGCAACAAGCGGCAUUAUUAUCAUCCUGCAGUCAGAGAAAUGGUAACAGACAGGUAGGAUAGGCAGGUGUCAAACAUACUGACUUGUAAUAGUGGUUACAUAACAUGUUUCAGACAAAAUUAUUGCUCUUCAUCAAAAGUAAACUUUAUCCAAAAAGAAUUCAAAGCUAAAUUUAACGUUAUCAUCAACCUAAGCUAUUUUAGUGUAGUAAGUAUAUCAUCACAUGAACUUGGGGAAAGUUUGGCAGGUGACGGGGAGCCAUUAGAUGCAAGUUGGAAUCUGUCGAAGAAGCAAGAUCUGAAGUCAACAAAAACGCGAAGUUACCGUCAAUUACAUAUUAUAGGACACCAAAGAGGCGCAUCAGUUCCUAUCAGCUGCCGAGCGGCAGAAGGAAUCGAGCAGCCGAUCAUGUUGAAAUCACGAAAUUAUGCAACAUAGAAGCUAUGAGUACCAAAGUAUGCUUGCGUUCCAACAGAGUCCCAAACGACAUCACAACUUAUCUGGAUGGCUGGCUUAUUUCUUUCUGUCAAAUUUGCCACCAAGUUCAGUAAAGAAGCAUCAUUUGUAUAGAAAUAUCUCUUUAAACUAAAGGACAAAGUACCGAAUAGUCGGUCUUAACAUAGCAAUAAGUAGUGAAACUUUUUUCGGUGUUUGAUUCAGUGAGUGAAUUAGCUUCUGAAAGGAAAACAAACUCUAGGCAAAAUUUCCAAAACCAGAUGAGAGGCAGGCAACUGAUUGUUCAGACAGCAAACUGACUAACAUGUGGUAUGUGGAUUAUUAUCAUACAACCUUUAUCAGCGCAUUGCUUGCGAAUAGUUUUUAUGGUAAUAAUUUGGAUAACAUGUUAGGUAUAUACAGUGUGUAAUCUUAGCAAAGACCCGUGCGGCAUAGGUUAGUGCACAUCACAGAUAACAACUUCAUUCAAACAGGCAGUUCAAUGUUGGAACAAUUCGAUCCUAAAAUAUAAGGAACUGAGGUGAGUCAAUGUGCAUUAAUCUAUUUCGUCUAGCAGUGCUGCCAGACAAUUGGACAUAAGACAAGCUAUGAGAAAGUUAAACUAAGAAGGGAAAAUCAACAUUUCCAACAAUACGGUCAGCUAGGAAAGCAUGAAAACGAAGGAAAAAGGUAAAGGCACAAGAAGUGAAUAAUCAUUCCGUCCAAUACAGUGUGUAGUUAAAUCGGGUAAGUACGGAUCUGUUUUCAAGAUGACAAUCUGUAUCUUGAUCCGGCCCCCAAAGGUCAGUGUUCUAGGGUCUCGAAGCGGUUUCCGGCUCUGUAGUUUGUAAGUCGAGCAACACCCGGAUGAACUGGCAGAGCAUUCCUGGAGCACGCUUUUGCGCGGGAGCUUAAUGAAUACAUAUCAGCUUUGGGUUAAACAUUACAAUGUAAGGAAAGUGACAUAGCUUAGGAAACAAACAGUAGCAUGUAAGUUAACUUUAUCGUCUAGCUGCUCUAGGGGCAUCCAGCAAGCAACUUUUAUCAUCUCUGGCAAACAAACAUACAAAAAAAUGAGAAAAAUAUUCAAAAAAGUGAAUCUUUUGUUGGCACUGGAUUUUUCUCAACAUUUUAAUUAAAAUCUAGGGCUAUACACACUACUAAAUUCAAAAAUAGGGUAUGUAGCUUGAAUGAAUGUAAUUGUAAUAAAAUAUGUGAUAAAGAUUUAGCAAAACAAUGUUAGGCUGCGUAUUGCUGCCAGGAAAAACAACUGGCUUAAAAAAUCAAACUAGCCGAGCCUUGUGCUCACAAGGUUGGUGGUUUGUCCCAAAAAAAAUAUCAUAAUAUAUCAAAGAGCAGACAAGGCCGAUUUUAUCAACACUUGCAUACAAAUAGACACAUUCUUUCACUUGUUUAUAUGUACACCACGCAAUGAGUGUAGUUGUAACUUUUAGUAACCGAAAGAUAUCGUUUCAUACGACCUAGGAGUGUUGACAUAAAUAUCAUAUUAACGGAAUAAUUUUAAGCAUCCCCAUACAGGAGAGUUUUUUCGAGCGAUCUUUUUGAGAAUUUAGUAAAAACCAGAUUACUAAUCAAACUUAAAAUGCCUUCUAGCUUUAUUUGAACUACUUGUUGACUAUAUGCCGUCUUUGUAAAGCUAAGUUGUAUCUGUCCGGUUCUUGGGUUCGAUUUAUUAGUUCUGUAACGAAGAAUGAAAACGAAUGAAGUGGUUCAUGCUAACUAGACUAAAUGAACAAAGUAAACAAAUUAUUCUAUGAACAAAAAGUGUUACGAUAAAUCAACAAUUCAAACAUAUCAAUUUCGUGCCCGAUAAUAUUGAAGAGAAAUUUAUUGAAGAAAUGUAAGCAUAUAUUAAAUUGUAGCUGACGAGAAAUAUAAUAUAUUACCUAUACAUUUACGACUACAUUGAGCAAAAUGAAAGUAUCAUUAAACUAUUAAAAAAUACGCUGAAAAUGUCAACAUAUGAAACCAGCAACUAAUAUUGAUGUAUCUGUUCGAACAAUAUGAUAGGAUCUACCAAUAACAAACGAUUUAGAAGGAAAAUUCGUACUACCCUUCGUAUAUUUUCAUUUUUUCUACUAGAGUCGUCAAACUGAGAGUGUCUCUUUCCUAUCUUCAUUGCAUCCAACAUUUCUCGUACUCUCUAUUUUUUAUGAGUGCUCAAAGUUGACGCAAUCCGUGUCUUGUAACUGAAGGAGAAAACACUGGUAUAUUUCGCAUAUUAGUUAUUUUCUUUUCCUAGAUUUUUUUCAGGUUUAAAAAGUAUCAGGCAUGGAAAGUGUUGCUAGUAAUCUUGUAGCUAAUACAAUUUGGUUGCAUUAACCGCUCACAGAGCCAGUACCGGUUCUAGCAAUAUGUAUUUUUUCUGAUUAAAAUUUAAAAAAGUUGAAUAAUUUCAUAGAACAGAACGCCAUUAGCGAUUUUAUUUCUUAUAAAGCUAUUUGUAUUAGUGCUUCAAGUUACGAUUAAAAUUUUAUUCAAUUUCUCCAAGUCACAAUUUAAAAACUACUAUUACAAGAUAUUUCGCAACAGCUAAUUGAACUCCCAAAUUAUUUUCUCAGUGAAUGGUGUUUGGUCUGAAGAACAGUGCUUGGCCGAUAUUGAACGAAUGGGACAAAACAGCUUAAAUGACGAAGCUAGUCUAUUCAAACGGACGAAAACUUUGUCAACUUUUUGCACUUGUGAAAUGCAAACUAUUAUCACACAUACACACCCACAUACACUUACUAGAAAUGUCACAAAAAUUCCAAACAAUGAGCUUCAAUUAAUUGAUACUAAAAUUCGUGCUUUUGACAAUCAAAGCAACCAUCUUUUACUCGCUUCCCAGAUAAAGAAACACGGUGCUCUCACUGCUUUUUUCAAGCAUUGAGCGUAAUUUGUAAGUUUUACGGAGGUUUAUCAUUUAGGAAAUGAGAAAUAAAUGGAGAGAAAUCAGAGAGAAUGAUGUGAAUGUGACACUCUAUGCUUCGAUUCUAGUUCGAAUAGCUUUUACUAGAUUCCUUACUACUUCAACUCUGCUAUCGAAUUUAAUGAAGAUAAAAAAUUAACCAAAGAUAUGUGUUUUUUAUUUUUCUUUUAAAUUAUUUAUUUAUUCUACAACCAAUGCUUAUUUAUUUUUACGCUUUUGGUAAAUCACUUUCCUUAGCAGUAACAAAGAAUGAGUAUAUUUUUUUGAAGUUAUGAACCAAAAUAUAUUAAAAAUAAUAAACAUUACAGUGAAAAUAUUUAGAUAUAGCAUAUGUAGUACAAUGGAAUGUAAAAUCUAGACAAACAUAGAACAUGUUAAAUGAUCAACUGGAAGUAAUGUCAAGCUAUUUGAACAAUUUUUCAAUAAACGUAUGAUUUGGAACGAAAAGCAAAGAUGAUUGAACGAAUCUGCGUUGACAUCAGUUUCUUAAAACAUCAAAAAAUCUUAGGCUAAAACAAAUAAGUGAAGGAAACUGACUUCAACUUGCCACCUAUUUUCGAAUACCCAUUCCUUACUGGCUCCGGCUCAGUAUGAGAGAUAACUGAUAAAACGAAGCCUGCAAGCUAACCAAACAGCAAAUACAAGCAAUUAAUCUACGCUAUCUCACUUGUUUUGUUUGUACACGUAACAGAUUCGAUAUAACUUACAAGAAAACAUUAAGAAAAGUCGUGCAUCAUCGCAAACAAAAACAUUGAACAAAUACCUUACUAUGAAAAACUGUUAUCGAUUUAUAAAAGAGCAAAGAAAAAGAACGUGGAAACACAACAAAAGAAGACAAUUCUACCAAAAACGCCUUCAGCGAUAUCUACAAACUCGUAGCUGAGACUUUUAACCUAGUCAAAAUAUUAUUUUUAUAAACUAAAAACGGUACAAUAAAACCCCUAAUAUUUCGACGGUCUCCCGCUGUGGCGGGCCUUCGACCUGAAGCAAUUUUGAGCACAGUUUUCAUCGCUUCUCAGCUUUCAGUUUUCGACUGGUUUCUCCAAAUGCUAGCGAAACUAAAUUUUCACAUUUUCUAUCACGCAACGCAUUCGAUCCCCUGAGAACGAUCACACUUAUCAUCCUGGCAACACUUCUUUUUUCGUCUCCCACACUCUAAACUCGCGCGCGCGUGCACGCACACCACCGCACCAGAGCACGGCUCUGCUGGACGUCACACCACCACACGUACAGCACAUGCACGCCACACAACAAUCAACGUCACGAUUCCCGACGAAAGCGAGUUGAAACAAUAAACAAACUACAGAAUUGAUCGUUUUUGUUUUCUUGUGAUUAUCGAAUAUGCACACAAACAUUCACACACGCAAAGUGAGCACACACACAACUACACAAACACACUCGAUCACGGAAGUAUGAAAAAAAUAUAUGCACAGAAUUAGUAGCGAGGUGAUGGAAUCGGCUCAGUUGACAGCAACUGCACAUCCGCACUCCACACUAAAGUUUUUCUUUUUAUUUUGUAAUUUUAAUGGUGCACAAUGUUCUUCAUUAGUUUUUUCCUCAAACUUUCAACCACUUGACACUGAUUUUUGUACUUCUUUAUGUUCGUUUUUGUUUUCUCGUUUUGUUUAUCCACUUUCAAUUGAAUAAGAUACAUUCUUGUUGUAUAUUGAAAUGAUUUCGAUAAUAAUUUUAAUUGUACGAUAUAUGAACAAGAGGAAAUUUUUGACAAAUAUUUUUAUCUAUUCUUAAAAAGUGAUAAAAUAUAUUGAAAAAAGAAGGAAAGGAAAUAAUAUUGAAACUUUUUAUGGAAGUCUUAUAUAUAAUUGUAAUAGAACCUAGAGAAAAACAAAAGAGGUUAAGUAUCAGAAGAAGAAGCAAGUAAUAAAUUAAAUUAAUGUUUAUCAUAUAAGCGGACAAACAGCAAAGAACGCGCUGAAGAGAAUCUCAUAAAAAAUCUGAACGCCCAGAGCGAAAGAGAAUCUUUCAAGAUGAAUGUGAUUAAUGUUUUUCCUUUUAAGCUAGAAUUCGUUCCAAAGAUUUUUCCCUUUACGUUUAGAAUUUUAAACUACACGUUUUCUCUUGAUUUUGAUAUAAGUUAUAUGACGUUCUAACGUGUACUGCCCCAUAAUCGGUGCGUGGACUGAGAAAAAUGGUUUCAAAAUGAGAAAUUAUCUUUGAUCUCUCUUCACUGACUAAAACUUGUUUGUAUACCGACUGAAAUAAAAGUCUUUUACCUCUAUGAGAGGUUUCCUUAGCACCAUUAACUGCGUUGCUCUCAAAUACGCAAUUCUCAUCCAACGCUGCCCAUUUCUGGCAACACUGGAACGUCACAUCACUUGAUUAUUGUGCACUGUUAUAAUUUUAAUAGAAGAAAUCCUCUAAUCGAAACAACUGUUCUGAAUUGUUAGCUUUCAGUUGAUGAUUUUCUCUCACUGUCUGUACACAAAAUAAAUGAUUUUAACUCAGAUAUUUGUUUCCUGAGCACAUACUUCUAUUUCAUUAUGUCAAACAAAAUAUUUUUUGAUCAUCUAUUGAUAAUGUCAAAAGCAGUAAUUUUAGAUUUUUGUCAAAUUUCUGUUCACAGUCCUUUUCUUUUUACUGUUCUUUUCUAAGAAGACAUACAAUUCAGAACAGGAAUGGCCUUAAAUACAAUUUUUAAAGAAGAAAUAUAAGAAUAACAAUUAAUGAAACAUAAAGAAAACAAGGAUAUUUAAAUUGAUUUUUAAAGUUUUUAACAAGAAAAAACGAGAAGAAAAUUCAAUUAAAAUACAUGAACAUGAAAUAAUACUUCGAAACAUAAAAUACCAAAUGAUACACAAAAGAGAAUCACUCAACUACAAACAGCAACAUCAACAAGAAAUACCAUACCAGUCUACGAAUACAGAUCAUCGCAUACAAUGUAACAGUUUACAAUUACCAGACAGGCAAAACCUAAUAGAACAAUGAAUUAGACAAUGUUGUAUUCGAACAAUUUAAAAUCCCCAUUAUCCCAGACCUCAAUGCUUAAUUUUCAAAAAAAAAAACGAUGUGAAAUGUUUAAGAUAUACAUAUGCUAAAAUUUGAAAGCAACAUCCAUUCCAGCUUCAGUGAGCAGAUUCACACACUGCAGCGUGUGACAUCCGUGAUAUAGAGCAGAUAAAAAGCUAAAAACUCAGCUGUAUUAUUAGAACAAACCGAAAAUGGGAUGAUCGAAAGACACACAACCAAAAACAAGCAAACCAAUCGAAACAUCUUGAAAUGUAUGGACUACCUGAAUCACACGACACAAAACAAAAACAUCAGAGUCAACAGAGUCAGUCAACGGCGAGCAUUCUCACUACUACAAAACCGCAUUUGCGCCCUUAUGUGAGUAUGUGUGAGUAAGUAAGCAAUGUGGCUGGCCGCUGGGUCUUUGGCGCUGAAAAUCAAUACGCAAGACACGAAAGAAAUGAAUAACAGAAAACAAAAUGAAGAUACACUGUACUAACUAUCAAAUGCUAGAUAUAAUUAACAUUGUAUAGGGUCCAAAGGUGGGGAAAAGUAAUGAAUUAAAUUACAAGUAAAUAAAGUAUGUAAUAACAACA